Molecule: ribosomal RNA, 548 nt
Filed under: uncultured archaeon
Lineage: Archaea
Description: bacterial SSU rRNA
Rfam family: Archaeal small subunit ribosomal RNA
Source: RNAcentral
GCGCGAAACCUCCUCAAUGCACUGAAGUGUGAAGGGGUUACCUCGAGUGCCAUCUGAAGAAGGUGGCUUUUCCUUGGUCUAAAUAGCCUUGGGAAUAAGAGGGGGGCAAGACUGGUGUCAGCCGCCGCGGUAACACCAGCCCCUCGAGUGGUGGGGAUGAUUAUUUGGCCUAAAGCGUCCGUAGCCGGCCGAGUAAGUUUCCCGUUAAAUCCAGCGUCUCAAGCGUUGGACUGCGGGAAAUACUGCCCGGCUAGAGAGUGGGAGAGGUGAGCGGUAUUCUGGGGGUAGGGGCGAAAUCCUUUGAUCCCCGGAGGACCACCAGUGGCGAAGGCUGCUUACUAGAACACGUCUGACGGUCAGGGACGAAAGCUGGGGUAGCGAACCGGAUUAGAUACCCGGGUAGUCCCAGCUGUAAACGAUGCACGCUAGGUGUUGGGUCGGCCACGCGCCGCCCCAGUGCCGCAGGGAAGCCGUUAAGCGUGCCGCCUGGGGAGUACGGCCGCAAGGCUGAAACUUAAAGGAAUUGGCGGGGGAGCACCACCAGGCGU